AAUACAUAUCAAUAAGCGGAGGAAAAGAAACCAACAGGGAUUGCCCUAGUAACGGCGAGUGAAGCGGCAACAGCUCAAAUUUGAAAUCUGGCGUCUUUGGCGUCCGAGUUGUAAUUUGCAGAGGGCGCUUUGGCAUUGGCAGCGGUCCAAGUUCCUUGGAACAGGACGUCACAGAGGGUGAGAAUCCCGUACGUGGUCGCUAGCCUUUACCGUGUAAAGCCCCUUCGACGAGUCGAGUUGUUUGGGAAUGCAGCUCUAAAUGGGAGGUAAAUUUCUUCUAAAGCUAAAUACUGGCCAGAGACCGAUAGCGCACAAGUAGAGUGAUCGAAAGAUGAAAAGCACUUUGGAAAGAGAGUUAAAAAGCACGUGAAAUUGUUGAAAGGGAAGCGCUUGCAGCCAGACUUGCCUGUAGUUGCUCAUCCGGGUUUUUACCCGGUGCACUCUUCUAUAGGCAGGCCAGCAUCAGUUUGGGCGGUUGGAUAAAGGUCUCUGUCAUGUAACUCUCUUCGGAGAGAACUUAUAGGGGAGACGACAUGCAACCAGCCUGGACUGAGGUCCGCGCAUCUGCUAGGAUGCUGGCGUAAUGGCUGUAAGCGGCCCGUCUUGAAACACGGACCAAGGAGUCUAACAUCUAUGCGAGUGUUUGGGUGUCAAGCCCGAGCGCGUAAUGAAAGUGAACGGAGGUGGGAACCUUUCGGGGUGCACCAUCGACCGAUCCUGAUGUCUUCGGAUGGAUUUGAGUAAGAGCAUAGCUGUUGGGACCCGAAAGAUGGUGAACUAUGCUUGAAUAGGGUGAAGCCAGAGGAAACUCUGGUGGAGGCUCGCAGCGGUUCUGACGUGCAAAUCGAUCGUCAAAUUUGGGCAUAGGGGCGAAAGACUAAUCGAACUAUCUAGUAGCUGGUUCCUGCCGA
This 911-nucleotide ribosomal RNA is filed under the name Neomicrosphaeropsis italica. RNAcentral describes it as "eukaryotic LSU rRNA". It matches the Rfam family "Eukaryotic large subunit ribosomal RNA", at positions 33 to 964 of the family's 3401-position model. Lineage: Eukaryota; Fungi; Ascomycota; Dothideomycetes; Pleosporales; Didymellaceae. The record is from RNAcentral.